This 468-nucleotide ribosomal RNA is filed under the name uncultured bacterium. RNAcentral describes it as "partial 16S ribosomal RNA". It matches the Rfam family "Bacterial small subunit ribosomal RNA", at positions 28 to 507 of the family's 1533-position model. The record is from RNAcentral.
GACGAACGCUGGCGGCGUGCUUAACACAUGCAAGUCGAACGGAAAGGCCCUGCUUUUGUGGGGCACUCGAGUGGCGAACGGGUGAGUAUCACGUGAGUAACCUGCCCUUGACUUUGGGAUAACUUCAGGAAACUGGGGCUAAUACCGGAUAGGAGCUCCUGCUGCAUGGUGGGGGUUGGAAAGUUUCGGCGGUUGGGGAUGGACUCGCGGCUUAUCAGCUUGUUGGUGGGGUAGUGGCUUACCAAGGCUUUGACGGGUAGCCGGCCUGAGAGGGUGACCGGCCACAGUGGGACUGAGAUACGGCCCAGACGCCUACGGGAGGCAGCAGUGGGGAAUAUUGCACAAUGGGCGGAAGCCUGAUGCAGCAACGCCGCGUGCGGGAUGAAGGACUUCGGGUUGUAGUCCGCUUUCGCCUGUGACGAAGCGUGAGUGACGGUAAUGGGUAAAGAAGCACCGGCUAACUACGUG